GCGCACGGGUGAGUAACACGUGAGCAACCUGCCGGGAAGCCCGGGAUAGCCCUCCGAAAGGAGGAUUAAUACCGGAUGUGGCCACCCUGCGAUUGCAGGGGAAGCUAAAGGAUUUAUUCACUUCCCGAGGGGCUCGCGGCCCAUCAGCUUGUUGGUGAGGGUAACGGCCCACCAAGGCGACAACGGGUAGCUGGUCUGAGAGGAUGGUCAGCCACACUGGAACUGAGACACGGUCCAGACACCUACGGGUGGCAGCAGUCGAGAAUCAUUCGCAAUGGGGGAAACCCUGACGAUGCGACGCCGCGUGGAGGAUGAAGGCCUUAGGGUUGUAAACUCCUGUCAAGAGGGAAUAAGCAAGUGAAGGUACCUCUAGAGGAAGGGGCGGCUAAUUCCGUGCCAGCAGCCGCGGUAACACGGAAGCCCCGAGCGUUGUUCGGAUUCAUUGGGCGUAAAGGGUGCGUAGGCGGCGCGGAAAGUCCGGCGUGAAAGGCAGGGGCUCAACCUCUGGACUGCGUUGGAUACUUCCGUGCUUGAGGACUGGAGGGGAGACUGGAAUUCACGGUGUAGCAGUGAAAUGCGUAGAUAUCGUGAGGAAGACCGGUGGCGAAGGCGAGUCUCUGGACAGAUCCUGACGCUGAGGCACGAAGGCUGGGGGAGCGAACAGGAUUAGAUACCCUGGUAGUCCCAGCAGUAAACGAUGUGAGCUUGAUGUGGGGGGAUUCGACCCCUUCCGUGUCGAAGCUAACGCGAUAAGCUCACCGCGUGAGGAGUUCGGCCGCAAGGCUAAAACUCAUAGAAAUUGACGGGGACCCGCACAAGCGGUGGAGUAUGUGGCUUAAUUCGAUGCAACGCGAAGAACCUUACCUGGCCUUGACAUGCAUUGUGUCGUCGGUGAAAGCCGGCUAGUCCUGGAAACAGGACGCUUUGCACAGGUGUUGCAUGGCAGUGGUCAGCUGGUGUCGUGAGAUGUUGGGUUAAGUCUCGCAUCGAGCGCAACCCUUGUGGUCAGUUACUAACGGAGCUUAGCCGGAGGACUCUGGCCAGACUGCCCUGUCAAACGGGGAGGAAGGUGGGGAGGACGUCAAGUCAGUAUGGCCCUUAUGGCCAGGGCUGCACACGUACUACAAUGCCCGGUACAAUGUAACCGAAACCUCGAGGUGGAGGAAAUCGCU
This 1172-nucleotide ribosomal RNA is filed under the name uncultured organism. Its description in RNAcentral is "bacterial SSU rRNA". It matches the Rfam family "Bacterial small subunit ribosomal RNA", at positions 98 to 1276 of the family's 1533-position model. The record is from RNAcentral.